This 215-nucleotide ribosomal RNA is filed under the name uncultured bacterium. Its description in RNAcentral is "partial 16S ribosomal RNA". It matches the Rfam family "Bacterial small subunit ribosomal RNA", at positions 118 to 347 of the family's 1533-position model. The record is from RNAcentral.
UGGAUAUCUGCCUUUUGGUUCGGAAUAACCCCGGGAAACUGGGGCUAAUACCGGAUGGUUCCUUCGGGAUAAAGAUUUAUCGCCAAAAGAUGAGUCCGCGUACGAUUAGCUAGUUGGUGAGGUAAUGGCUCACCAAGGCGACGAUCGUUAGCUGGUCUGAGAGGACGAUCAGCCACACUGGGACUGAGACACGGCCCAGACUCCUACGGGAGCAG